UGCACCAGUCGCGAAAACCUUUCGCAAUGCGGGAAACCGCGACGAGGUCAGCCGGAGUGCCGGUGCUCGCAUCGGCUGUCGGGGAGUCUAAAAAGCUCCCCAUAGCAAGGGCCGGGCAAAGCCGGUGGCAGCCGCCGCGGUAAUACCGGCGGCCCGAGUGGCGGUCACUAUUAUUGGGCUUAAAGCGUCCGUAGCCGGGUUGGUAAGUCUCCCGGGAAAUCUGGCCGCUUAACGGUCAGAAUUCCGGGAGAUACUGCCAGCCUAGGGACCGGGAGAGGCCGAGGGUAUUCCCGGAGUAGGGGUGAAAUCCUAUAAUCCCGGGAGGACCACUUGUGGCGAAAGGCGCUCGGCUGGAACGGGUCCGACGGUGAGGGACGAAAGGCCAGGGGAGCAAACCGGAUUAGAUA
This 407-nucleotide ribosomal RNA is filed under the name uncultured archaeon. Its description in RNAcentral is "bacterial SSU rRNA". It matches the Rfam family "Archaeal small subunit ribosomal RNA", at positions 331 to 735 of the family's 1478-position model. The record is from RNAcentral.